Jaculus jaculus (lesser Egyptian jerboa) is the source of this 107-nucleotide small nuclear RNA. The record is from Ensembl. NCBI's taxonomy places the organism in Eukaryota, Metazoa, Chordata, Mammalia, Rodentia, Dipodidae.
GUGCUUAUCUCAGCAGCACAUACACUAAAACUGGAACAAUACAGAGAAUAGUAGCAUGCCCCCUGUGCAAGGAUAACAUGCAAAUUCAUGAAUCAUUCCUUUUUUUU